AUUGAACGCUGGCGGCAUGCCUUACACAUGCAAGUCGAACGGUAACAGGGAGCUUGCUCCGCUGACGAGUGGCGAACGGGUGAGUAAUAUAUCGGAACGUACCUUUGAGUGGGGGAUAACUAGUCGAAAGAUUAGCUAAUACCGCAUACGAUCUACGGAUGAAAGUGGGGGAUCGCAAGACCUCAUGCUCAUAGAGCGGCCGAUAUCUGAUUAGCUAGUUGGUGAGGUAAAGGCUCACCAAGGCUUCGAUCAGUAGCUGGUCUGAGAGGA
Molecule: ribosomal RNA, 270 nt
Filed under: uncultured bacterium
Lineage: Bacteria
Description: partial 16S ribosomal RNA
Rfam family: Bacterial small subunit ribosomal RNA
Source: RNAcentral